This is a non-coding RNA of Astyanax mexicanus (Mexican tetra), 83 nucleotides long. The record is from Rfam. NCBI's taxonomy places the organism in Eukaryota, Metazoa, Chordata, Actinopteri, Characiformes, Acestrorhamphidae.
UCCCCACUUCAGCAGCACGUAAAUAUUGGUGUGUGAGAAAAUAAAGUCUAACCCCAAUAUUACUUGUGCUGCUUCAGUGAGGC